Lagenorhynchus albirostris (white-beaked dolphin) is the source of this 759-nucleotide long non-coding RNA. RefSeq lists it as uncharacterized. The transcript is spliced from 3 exons. Lineage: Eukaryota; Metazoa; Chordata; Mammalia; Artiodactyla; Delphinidae. The record is from RefSeq and is a predicted model, not a curated record.
UGCUUGUAUCUUCGUAAAGUCCCAGCCUUUAUACUUAAUUUUUUUCUUUUGGUCUCUUGUGUUUCCCUGGUUUUCUUUAUUUCUUUUUUCUUUAGAUAUUUACCUGCUAAGCUCCUGGUGGUCCCGAGUGACCCCUGCUGUGAGCAGUGGCCUCCCUUUCUAGACUGUCCCUAUCAACCUCAGGGGGACUAGAGUCUAUAUCCAAGGGAUGUCAUGGAGGAGAUCUCUCUUGGUGUUGCAAGGAACAUCAUAACUAAUAUGGUGAUGAAGAAAGGAAAAAAGAAGAGAUAAGACAAAGGGCAAAUGGUAAAGUGAAAACGCCAAAUGCGAUGCUCCCAUUUCCAUGGAAUUCUUUAGAACCCACAAGCAGUGACCUCUGCCUCCUUUCUCAUUGGCCAGGACUGUGGGCUCAUGGGCACUCACAGCUGCAAGGAAAGCUGGGAGAUGAAUCCUUAAGAACUGUCCACACUGCUAAUUUGAACACAGUUGUAUUGUUACUUGAAAGAAGGAGGGGAGGAAUGGAUAUUGGGACAGCAACUUCUUUUGUCUCACACAUUAGGCCAUGUAGCAAGUCUCUAAUAAUUUUGUUUGAAUCUAUGUCUUAUAGAAUCUGUGUCAUGAAGACCAUGCAUUCUGUGCAUAAUGCAAUUAAUUUAGAAAUCUAUAACUAAAAGAUAACUAAAAUAUGCACAGAGUCUGCAUAUUAAAAUAUAUAUUUCUAAAUAACCUAUAGUUUGGUCCAAGACAUCUUGAUGAGAA